CCGGCGACCGGCGCACGGGUGAGUAACACGUAUGCGACCUGCCCCCCGCAGGGGGAUAACCGGGAGAAAUCCCGACUAAUACCGCGUAACGCCGCGGACCUGCAUGGGUCUGCGGCCAAAGGAAGCGAUUCCGGCGGGGGAUGGGCAUGCGGCGCAUUAGCUAGUCGGCGGGGUAACGGCCCACCGUGGCGACGAUGCGUAGGGGUUCUGAGAGGAAGGUCCCCCACACUGGUACUGAGACACGGACCAGACUCCUACGGAAGGCAGCAG
This 270-nucleotide ribosomal RNA is filed under the name uncultured bacterium. Its description in RNAcentral is "partial 16S ribosomal RNA". It matches the Rfam family "Bacterial small subunit ribosomal RNA", at positions 88 to 354 of the family's 1533-position model. The record is from RNAcentral.